AACGAACGCUGGCGGCAGGCCUAACACAUGCAAGUCGAACGCCGUAGCAAUACGGAGUGGCAGACGGGUGAGUAACACGUGGGAACGUACCCUUCGGUUCGGAAUAACUCAGGGAAACUUGAGCUAAUACCGGAUACGUCCGAGAGGAGAAAGAUUUAUCGCCGAGGGAUCGGCCCGCGUCUGAUUAGCUUGUUGGUGAGGUAACGGCUCACCAAGGCGACGAUCAGUAGCUGGCUGAGAGGAUGAUCAGCCACAUUGGGACUGAGACACGGCCCAAACUCCUACGGGAGGCAGCAGUGGGGAAUAUUGGACAAUGGGCGCAAGCCUGAUCCAGCCAUGCCGCGUGAGUGAUGAAGGCCCUAGGGUUGUAAAGCUCUUUUACCCGGGAAGAUAAUGACUGUACCGGGAGAAUAAGCCCCGGCUAACUUCGUGCCAGCCGCCGCGGUAAU
Molecule: ribosomal RNA, 449 nt
Filed under: uncultured bacterium
Lineage: Bacteria
Description: bacterial SSU rRNA
Rfam family: Bacterial small subunit ribosomal RNA
Source: RNAcentral